Molecule: non-coding RNA, 806 nt
Organism: Dermochelys coriacea (leatherback sea turtle)
Lineage: Eukaryota; Metazoa; Chordata; Testudines; Dermochelyidae
Source: the annotation of a RefSeq genome assembly
AUGUCCAAUUUCUGACAGUACCAUUGAGAAAGGUUUAUAGAGCAGAGAGAAUCACUCUUGUGAAGAUGGGUUCAGGCUAUUCCGACAACUGACAGCUCCUGCUCAGAGAUAGAACAUUAAAUUGUAAGGCAAUUUAUAGGACAAAAUUCUUGCCUUUUCUAAGUUUGGGCUACUAGCCAAGAAGACAAAUCAAUUCUUGCCGGAUUAAGAAAUUAACUCUCUUUAGUCAAGACUCCUUCAACUCAAGGAUGGCUUCAAUUUGGCUCUCCGCCGUUAUAGUCAUAGCUAUUCUGAAAGGCAUCUAUGGAGCAGACUCAGUGACUCAAACUGACGGCAGCGUUUUCAUCUCUCAAGGGGAUCCGGUGCUUCUUAACUGCACAUAUCAGAUUUCUGGGUUUCCUUACCUCUUCUGGUACGUUCAGGACUCCAACCAGCCCCCCCACCCCAGGCUCUUCCUGAGGGACCCGGGAAGCGAGGACUCGGAUGAAGGGAUCAGAAAAGGGUUCAAUGCCAUCCAUGAGAAAAAGCACAAAUCCUUCCAGCUGUGGAAACCGUCCGGCGAAGUGAGCGACUCCGCGACCUAUUACUGCGCCGGGAAAGACACAGUGACACGGACCGACAGGGGAGCUGAGCAAAAACUGCGCAGGAGUGAUGCAGCACCUCUGAACAGGUCGUCUUUGCUGCGUCUCAGCUUCUUCCUUAUCUGCCGAAGCCGGUCAGCAGGGGUGCGUGGUGUGUUCCUCAAGGUCUCAGCUGCUGUGGACAAUUCACAGAAGAGGGACUGUUACAUUCCAGCAAACAAAUGA